GGAAUAUAAGAAUCCGUUUUUUAACUUUUAACUAAAAAAACUAAGAACCGGCUCUUAAAUAUCUUAUUUAAGAGCAAGUUCUUAGUUUUUUUAGUUAAAAGUUAAGAGACAUGUUUUUAUAUUUC
Molecule: microRNA precursor, 125 nt
Organism: Brassica oleracea var. oleracea
Lineage: Eukaryota; Viridiplantae; Streptophyta; Magnoliopsida; Brassicales; Brassicaceae
Rfam family: MIR9563 microRNA precursor family
Source: Rfam